GUAGGGAAUAUUGCGCAAUGGACGAAAGUCUGACGCAGCGACGCCGCGUGAGUGAUGAAGGCCUUAGGGUCGUAAAGCUCUGUUGAAUGGGAAGAAAAAAAUGACGGUACCAUUCGAGGAAGGACCGGCUAACUUCGUGCCAGCAGCCGCGGUAAUACGAGGGGUCCUAGCGUUGGUCGGAAUCAUUGGGCGUAAAGGGUGUGUAGGUGGCCAUGUAAGUCAGGUGUGAAAGCCCCGGGCUCAACCCGGGAAGUGCACUUGAUACUGCGUGGCUUGAGUACCGAAGAGGGUAGUGGAAUUCCAGGUGUAGUGGUGAAAUACGUAGAUAUCUGGAGGAACACCGGUGGCGAAGGCGGCUACCUGGUCGAGUACUGACCCUGAGACACGAAAGCAUGGGGAUCAAACAGGAUUAGAAACCCCAGUAGUCC
This 428-nucleotide ribosomal RNA is filed under the name uncultured bacterium. RNAcentral describes it as "partial 16S ribosomal RNA". It matches the Rfam family "Bacterial small subunit ribosomal RNA", at positions 354 to 796 of the family's 1533-position model. The record is from RNAcentral.